UACGUAGGUGGCAAGCGUUGUCCGGAAUUACUGGGUGUAAAGGGAGCGCAGGCGGGAAGCCAAGUCAGCUGUGAAAACUACGGGCUUAACUUGUAGACUGCUGUUGAAACUGGUUUUCUUGAGUGAAGUAGAGGUUGGCGGAAUUCCGAGUGUAGCGGUGAAAUGCGUAGAUAUUCGGAGGAACACCGGUGGCGAAGGCGGCCAACUGGGCUUUAACUGACGCUGAGGCUCGAAAGUGUGGGGAGCAAACAGG
Molecule: ribosomal RNA, 253 nt
Filed under: uncultured bacterium
Lineage: Bacteria
Description: partial 16S ribosomal RNA
Rfam family: Bacterial small subunit ribosomal RNA
Source: RNAcentral